UGAUAAAUGAGUAGGGCGGGACACGUGAAAUCCUGUCUGAAUAUGGGGGGACCAUCCUCCAAGGCUAAAUACUCCUGAAAGACCGAUAGUGAACAAGUACUGUGAAGGAAAGGUGAAAAGCACUUCGAAUAGAAGGGUGAAAUAGAACCUGAAACCGUACGCCUACAAGCGGUCGGAGCCCACAAGUUGGGUGACGGCGUGCCUUUUGCAUAAUGAGCCUACGAGUUAAUGUUACUAGCGAGGUUAAGGUAUUAAGUACCGGAGCCGGAGCGAAAGCGAGUCUGAAUAGGGCGCUUAGUUAGUAGUAUUAGACGCGAAACCUUGUGAUCUACCCAUGGGCAGGUUGAAGCUCUGGUAACACAGAGUGGAGGACCGAACCGGUUGACGUUGAAAAGUCUUCGGAUGACCUGUGGGUAGGGGUGAAAGGCCAAUCAAACUGGGAGAUAGCUCGUACUCUCCGAAAUGCAUUUAGGUGCAGCGUCGCAAAUGAGUUUAUUAGAGGUAGAGCUACUGAUUGGAUGCGGGGGUUUCAUCGCCUACCAAUUCCUGACAAACUCCGAAUGCUAAUAAAUGUUCUGCGGCAGUGAGGGCAUGGGUGCUAAGGUCCAUGUCCGAGAGGGAAAGAACCCAGACCAACAGCUAAGGUCCCCAAAUAUAUGUUAAGUUGAAGCAACGCGGUUGGACUGCAUUGACAGCUAGGAUGUUGGCUUGGAAGCAGCCAUUCAUUUAAAGAGUGCGUAACAGCUCACUAGUCGAGCGGUCCGGCAUGGAUAAUAAUCGGGCAUAAACAUAUUACCGAAGCUAUGGAUUUAUACCUUAGGGGUAUAUCUGGUAGGAGAGCAUUCUAUUUGCGCCGAAGCAGUACCGCGAGGUAUUGUGGAGCGGAUAGAAAAGAAAAUGUAGGCAUAAGUAACGAUAAAGGGGGCGAGAAACCCCCUCACCGAAAGACUAAGGUUUCCUCAGCCAUGCUAAUCAGCUGAGGGUUAGUCGGGACCUAACGCGAACCCGAAAGGGGUAGUGGAUGGACAAUGGGUUAAUAUUCCCAUACUUGCUCACACUAAAAAGGGGACGGAGUGCCGUACUUACUGGAGACUGACGGAAUAGUCAAGACCUAGCCUUCGGGCGAAGUUGCUGUAAGGAAAGUGCUUCCAAGAAAAGCCGAAGUGAAGCAACCCGUACCAAAACCGACACAGGUAGUCGAGGAGAGAAUCCUAAGGUGCUCGAGUGAGUCGUGGCUAAGGAACUAGGCAAAAUAGUCUCGUAACUUCGGAAGAAGAGACGCCAUCAGCAAUGGUGGCCGCAGUGAAGAGGCCCAGGCGACUGUUUAUCAAAAACACAGGACUCUGCUAAAUCGAAAGAUGCUGUAUAGGGUCUGACACCUGCCCGGUGCUGGAAGGUUAAGGAAGGUGCUUAGAGUUAAAUCGAAGGCAUUAACUGAAGCCCCAGUAAACGGCGGCCGUAACUAUAACGGUCCUAAGGUAGCGAAAUUCCUUGUCGGGUAAGUUCCGACCUGCACGAAUGGUGUAACGAUCUGGGCACUGUCUCAGCCACGAGCUCGGUGAAAUUGUAGUAUCGGUGAAGAUGCCGAUUACCCGCAAUGGGACGAAAAGACCCUGUGAACCUUUACUAUAACUUCGUAUUGACUUUGAGUAAGUAAUGUGUAGGAUAGGUGGGAGGCUUUGAAGCCGGCACGCUAGUGUUGGUGGAGCCAACGUUGAAAUACCACCCUUUACUUACUUGGAGCCUAACUUCUUU
Molecule: ribosomal RNA, 1755 nt
Filed under: Chryseobacterium endalhagicum
Lineage: Bacteria; Pseudomonadati; Bacteroidota; Flavobacteriia; Flavobacteriales; Weeksellaceae
Description: partial 23S ribosomal RNA
Rfam family: Bacterial large subunit ribosomal RNA
Source: RNAcentral